ACCCAUCUGACGAGUUCCAGACAUGACGAAACGCGCGUCCUGGAU
Molecule: non-coding RNA, 45 nt
Filed under: Schistosoma curassoni
Lineage: Eukaryota; Metazoa; Platyhelminthes; Trematoda; Strigeidida; Schistosomatidae
Source: RNAcentral